GCCACGGUGGUCUAGCGGUCAGAACACUAGCCUUGUAAGCCUGGGGUACCGGGUUCAAUUCCCGGUGGUGCUC
Molecule: non-coding RNA, 73 nt
Organism: Zootermopsis nevadensis
Lineage: Eukaryota; Metazoa; Arthropoda; Insecta; Blattodea; Termopsidae
Source: Rfam